GACGAACGCUGGCGGCGUGCUUAACACAUGCAAGUCGAACGGAGCGAAUGAAAGCUUGCUUUUAUAAGCUUAGUGGCAAACGGGUGAGUAACACGUAGGCAACCUGCCGACAGGAUGGGGACAACAUUCCGAAAGGAAUGCUAAUACCGAAUGAAGUCAGAGGAGGGCAUCCUCUUCUGAUGAAAGAUGGCCUCUAUAUAUAAGCUAUCACCUGUCGAUGGGCCUGCGUCUGAUUAGCUGGUAGGUGAGGUAACGGCUCACCUAGGCGACGAUCAGUAGCCGGUCUGAGAGGAUGAACGGCCACAUUGGGACUGAGACACGGCCCAGACUCCUACGGGAGGCAGCAGUGGGGAAUCUUCCGCAAUGGGCGCAAGCCUGACGGAGCAAUGCCGCGUGAGUGAAGAAGGUCUUCGGAUCGUAAAGCUCUGUUGAUGGGGACGGACGUGCCUAAUGCGAAUAG
RNAcentral lists this ribosomal RNA (460 nucleotides) under Selenomonas sp. oral taxon 140. RNAcentral's name for it is "bacterial SSU rRNA". It matches the Rfam family "Bacterial small subunit ribosomal RNA", at positions 28 to 465 of the family's 1533-position model. Lineage: Bacteria; Bacillati; Bacillota; Negativicutes; Selenomonadales; Selenomonadaceae. The record is from RNAcentral.